CCUGGUGGCUCAGACGGUAAAGCGUCUGCCUACCAUGCAGGAGACCUGGGUUCAAUCCCUGGGUCAGGA
This 69-nucleotide transfer RNA is filed under the name Capra hircus (goat). It matches the Rfam family "tRNA". Rfam says of the family: Transfer RNA (tRNA) molecules are approximately 80 nucleotides in length. Their secondary structure includes four short double-helical elements and three loops (D, anti-codon, and T loops). The record is from Rfam by way of RNAcentral. RNAcentral also lists the same sequence under 1 other name. Lineage: Eukaryota; Metazoa; Chordata; Mammalia; Artiodactyla; Bovidae.